UACGGAGGGUGCGAGCGUUAUUCGGAAUCACUGGGCGUAAAGCGUGCGCAGGCGGCCCGUUAAGACAGGUGUGAAAUCCCUGGGCUCAACCUAGGAAUUGCGCUUGUGACUGGCGGGCUCGAGUACGGUAGAGGGGGGUGGAAUUCCUGGUGUAGCAGUGAAAUGCGUAGAGAUCAGGAGGAACACCGAUGGCGAAGGCAGCCCCCUGGGCCUGUACUGACGCUCAUGCACGAAAGCGUGGGGAGCAAACAGG
Molecule: ribosomal RNA, 253 nt
Filed under: uncultured microorganism
Description: partial 16S ribosomal RNA
Rfam family: Bacterial small subunit ribosomal RNA
Source: RNAcentral